Molecule: long non-coding RNA, 543 nt
Filed under: Vulpes vulpes (red fox)
Lineage: Eukaryota; Metazoa; Chordata; Mammalia; Carnivora; Canidae
Description: lncRNA (ENSVVUG00000014904.1)
Source: RNAcentral
CUGGGGCUAGCCCAUGGGAGCCUGUGCUUGAGCUGCUUCUCAUGGGAGGCCCUAGAGAUGCUACAGUCACUCCCGAGUUUGGGGAGAAGAUGCCCGAGAGUCAGGAGAACUGGAGGGAAUUCCGGCCCGGGGCCUGCAGCCACUCUGCCAGGCUGCCUUAAAGACGAGGCGUCAAACCCACACCCAUCUCGUGAAGCGCCCUGAUGCAGGAGGCUGUGGGAUCGAUCCCGAUGUCGUAGUCACCGUUUGCCAUACGGAGUCUGGGCUGACGGUAGCAAGAGCAGCAUAGGGUCCUCACUUUUGCUCACCUAUGCACCAUGUUUUGCAUCUGAGUCAUCAGAGCGAGCGUGCCAGCCACCUCACCAACAUCCUAUUCUGGGGAAACUCCAUUACUCCUGCAUACAUUAUAUCCAGAUGGGUAGCACGAGCUUCAGGGAUGCACCCGAAUUCAUGGAGUUAACUGUGGUAGAUAGAGGCAGAAAGGGCCCUGCGGUUCUGAUUUCCAAACCCUGGCUGGGCUGUUGAAAAUAAACUACAUCGAUA